GGGGGACCUUCGGGCCUCUUGCCAUCGGAUGUGCCCAGAUGGGAUUAGCUAGUAGGUGGGGUAACGGCUCACCUAGGCGACGAUCCCUAGCUGGUCUGAGAGGAUGACCAGCCACACUGGAACUGAGACACGGUCCAGACUCCUACGGGAGGCAGCAGUGGGGAAUAUUGCACAAUGGGCGCAAGCCUGAUGCAGCCAUGCCGCGUGUAUGAAGAAGGCCUUCGGGUUGUAAAGUACUUUCAGCGGGGAGGAAGGGAGUAAAGUUAAUACCUUUGCUCAUUGACGUUACCCGCAGAAGAAGCUCCGGCUAACUCAUUGGCAGCAGCCGC
RNAcentral lists this ribosomal RNA (329 nucleotides) under Escherichia coli. Its description in RNAcentral is "bacterial SSU rRNA". It matches the Rfam family "Bacterial small subunit ribosomal RNA", at positions 194 to 518 of the family's 1533-position model. The record is from RNAcentral. Lineage: Bacteria; Pseudomonadati; Pseudomonadota; Gammaproteobacteria; Enterobacterales; Enterobacteriaceae.